ACGCUCGACACCUACGGGAGGCAGCAGUCGGGAAUAUUGCGCAAUGGAGGGAACUCUGACGCAGUGACGCCGCGUAUAGGAAGAAGGUUUUCGGAUUGUAAACUAUUGUCGUUAGGGAAGAGAAAGGACAGUACCUAAGGAGGAAGCUCCGGCUAACUACGUGCUAGCAGCCGCGGUAAUCUGAGCGGGCUGGCAAGGC
RNAcentral lists this ribosomal RNA (199 nucleotides) under uncultured bacterium. RNAcentral's name for it is "partial 16S ribosomal RNA". It matches the Rfam family "Bacterial small subunit ribosomal RNA", at positions 328 to 539 of the family's 1533-position model. The record is from RNAcentral.